GAGGGAGCCCUAGCACAGGUGCUGCAUGGCCGUCGUCAGCUCGUGCCGUGAGGUGUUGGGUUAAGUCCCGCAACGAGCGCAACCCCGCCGUUAGUGCCAGCGGUUCGGCCGGGCACUCUAACGGGACUGCCCGCGAAAGCGGGAGGAAGGAGGGGACGACGUCUGGUCAGCAUGGCCCUUACGGCCUGGGCGACACACGUGCUACAAUGCCCACUACAAAGCGAUGCCACCCGGCAACGGGGAGCUAAUCGCAAAAAGGUGGGCCCAGUUCGGAUUGGGGUCUGCAACCCGACCCCAUGAAGCCGGAAUCGCUAGUAAUCGCGGAUCAGCCAUGCCGCGGUCGAAUACGUUCCCGGGCCUU
This 361-nucleotide ribosomal RNA is filed under the name uncultured Thermus sp. Its description in RNAcentral is "bacterial SSU rRNA". It matches the Rfam family "Bacterial small subunit ribosomal RNA", at positions 1020 to 1382 of the family's 1533-position model. The record is from RNAcentral. Lineage: Bacteria; Thermotogati; Deinococcota; Deinococci; Thermales; Thermaceae.